Molecule: ribosomal RNA, 447 nt
Filed under: Bacillus sp. enrichment culture clone A1d
Lineage: Bacteria; Bacillati; Bacillota; Bacilli; Caryophanales; Bacillaceae
Description: partial 16S ribosomal RNA
Rfam family: Bacterial small subunit ribosomal RNA
Source: RNAcentral
GAGCGAACUGAUUAGGAGCUUGCUUCUAUGACGUUAGCGGCGGACGGGUGAGUAACCACGUGGGCAACCUGCCUGUAAGACUGGGAUAACUUCGGGAAACCGAAGCUAAUACCGGAUAGGAUUUUCUCCUUCCAUGGGAGANGGAUNAAAGAUGGUUUCGGCUAUCACUUACAGAAGGGCCCGCGGUGCAAUAGCUAGUUNGUGAGGUAACGGCUCACCCAAGGCAACGAUGCAUAGCCGACCUGAGAGGGUGAUUGGCCCACACUGGGACUNAGACACGGCCCAGACUCCCUACGGGAGGCAGCAGUNGGGAAUUUUUCGCAANGACGAAAGUUAGACGGAGCAACGCCGCGUGAGUGAGAAGGCNUNGGGUGNAAACUUGUGUAGGGAAGAACAAGNCGAGAGNACUNCUGNCCCUGACGGNCCAACCAGAAGCCACGCAACACG